This 978-nucleotide ribosomal RNA is filed under the name Triticum aestivum (bread wheat). RNAcentral describes it as "partial small subunit ribosomal RNA". Lineage: Eukaryota; Viridiplantae; Streptophyta; Magnoliopsida; Poales; Poaceae. The record is from RNAcentral.
AUGGCCACCGAGGUGGUGGCGCUCUCGCCGGCCUCCCGCCUGCCGUCCCUCUCCUCCAGGCCUAACGCUCUAGCCGCCUCCUCCUCCCGGUCCCGAGCACCUCGCGGCGCCCGUGCCCCCAGUUCACCGCUGGCGCUCACCACCUCCACGGGGCACCGGCGCAAAGCGCUCCUCCUCCUCCGGCCCCGCGCCACCGAGCAGCAAGGGCAGGUGCAGCAGCAGGACGAGGAGGUGGUGGACGGCAACGUGCUCCCCUACUGUAGCAUCGACGGCAAGAAGAAGAAGACCAUCGGGGAGAUGGAGCAGGAGUUCCUACGAGCCCUGCAGUCCUUCUACUACGACCAGAAGGCCAUCAUGUCCAACGAGGAGUUCGACAACCUCAAGGAGGAGCUCAUGUGGGAAGGCAGCAGCGUCGUCAUGCUAAGCGCCGAUGAGCAGAGGCUGCUGGAAGCCUCCAUUGCCUACAUCGCCGGCAACCCCAUCAUGUCAGAUGCGGAGUUCGACGAGCUCAAGCUUAGACUCAAGCAAGAUGGAAGCGACAUCGUGACGGAAGGCCCCAGGUGCAGUCUACGGAGUCGGAAGGUUUACAGCGAUCUGACCGUUGACUACUUGAAGAUGUUCCUGCUCAAUGUUCCAGCAACUAUUGUUGCUCUAGGACUGUUCUUUUUCAUCGAUGAGCUGACUGGCUUUGAGGUCAAUGUAUUCCAGUUUCCGGAGCCCUUUGGCUUCAUAUUCACGUAUUUUGCCGCUUUGCCUCUGAUAUUGGUAACGGCGCAAGUGGUAACCAAGGCCAUAAUAAAUGAUGUCUUAAUCCUGAAGGGGCCGUGUCCGAAUUGCGGCACUGAAAAUCUUUCCUUCUACGGGACGAUACUGUCGAUCGAGAGUGGUGGAGCAACAAACAAUGUGAAGUGCGCAAAUUGCAAAACAGUGAUGGUAUACGACUCAAAAACUCGGCUGAUCACACUUCCAGAUUCAUGA